GAUGAAGAACGCAGCGAAAUGCGAUAAGUAAUGUGAAUUGCAGAAUUCAGUGAAUCAUCGAAUCUUUGAACGCACAUUGCGCCCGCCAGUAUUCUGGCGGGCAUGCCUGUUCGAGCGUCAUUUCAACCAUCAAGCCCCCGGCUUGUGUUGGGGACCUGCGGCUGCCGCAGGCCCUGAAAACCAGUGGCGGGCUCGCUAGUCACUCCGAGCGUAGUAAUACAUCUCGCUCAGGGCGUGCUGCGGGUUCCGGCCGUUAAAAGCCUUAUUUACGCAAGGUUGACCUCGGAUCAGGUAGGAAGACCCGCUGAACUUAAGCAUAUCAAUAAGCGGAGGA
This 334-nucleotide unclassified non-coding RNA is filed under the name soil metagenome. RNAcentral's name for it is "partial contains 5.8S ribosomal RNA, internal transcribed spacer 2, and large subunit ribosomal RNA". The stretch from base 1 to 120 matches the Rfam family "5.8S ribosomal RNA", at positions 35 to 154 of the family's 154-position model. The record is from RNAcentral.